Mustela erminea (ermine) is the source of this 103-nucleotide long non-coding RNA. RefSeq lists it as uncharacterized. The record is from RefSeq and is a predicted model, not a curated record. The transcript is spliced from 3 exons. NCBI's taxonomy places the organism in Eukaryota, Metazoa, Chordata, Mammalia, Carnivora, Mustelidae.
AUAUAUGACCAGUUCACAGCUUACACCAGAGUCAGUAGUGAAAAGCUGCUACCUUUUCCUCUAAGAUCAAGAACAAGACAAAGAUUCCACUCUCACCAGUCUU